UCGGUUACGAUUAUCAUGCUAUACAAAUAUUGUUCAUUAUUAACUACAAAUUAAAUCUUAUUAUAACGUUUGACCCAUUUAUUUGCUGUCUUGAAUGUGUCAGUCUCUCAGUGACUACAUGUGAUUACGUCUUAUUUGAAGCUCACUUUUGGUGUCACACAACAGAGUCCCCCUAAAUGAGAAGCUCAUCCUCCCGAGCUCCUGUCAUCCAAUGGGAAUGGAGGAGUGGUGGUGCGGGGAUUGGACCAGGUGGGAGCUUCAAAGUUCUUCUCGUAAUCCAGGGAAAAGCUGAAGAGUUGCCCCCGAGACGUGAAGAACAUCUCUCCAGUCUGUCUGUUCCUGCCUCUGCUUGUCCCUCAGGGUCCAGGUCAUCUCAGAAACCUACACACACACGUACACACUCACACACACACAGACACCACAGGCUUCACCCUAUAUCUGGGCAGCUUUAGUCUGUCAGCAUCUCAGUGCACAAUCCCAUCAGAUACACACACUGACCCACAAACAACACACACACACACACACACACAUUGAGAUGCAGGGGUCUUUGUGCAGCCCUUCAGCCGAGGGAGCAGGAGUCUGCGAAGGGGAAAUAAAAGCAGGGUUAUCAUCUACAGCCGCAAAUGUGUCUGGCGUGAAGAGAAAGGCCAUUUUGAUUGCCCGUCCAAGAGAGUGAGUGCAAAACAUUGUGUAUAAUAACAUAUGGUAAUGCAGCUGUUUUUAUGGCCCUGUUUUUGUCCCUAUCCGUCCCAUCUCGCCGCUCCCAAAUGCUCCCAUUUACACUCAUCUCCACAAUUUAGAGAAUUCCUGCAAUGCUGGCACACACACACACACACAAAACAGCGGCAGAUGAGAAAGGCUUCUUUAGUGUUUUCUCUCUCUCUCUUUCUCUCUCUCUCCAGAACAGUUUGUGUUUUUCAGCUCCGGUGAAUUUAAAGAAUUGCAGAGUUAUCGUGGCUUCACCCCCA
This 968-nucleotide long non-coding RNA is filed under the name Danio rerio (zebrafish). RNAcentral's name for it is "lncRNA (ENSDARG00000117443.1)". The record is from RNAcentral. Lineage: Eukaryota; Metazoa; Chordata; Actinopteri; Cypriniformes; Danionidae.